Molecule: ribosomal RNA, 687 nt
Filed under: uncultured equine intestinal eubacterium sp. PL36
Lineage: Bacteria
Description: bacterial SSU rRNA
Rfam family: Bacterial small subunit ribosomal RNA
Source: RNAcentral
ACGCGGUAAACGAUGAAUACUAGGUGUCAGGGAGCACAGCUCUUUGGUGCCGCAGCAAACGCAAUAAGUAUUCCACCUGGGGAGUACGGUCGCAAGAUUAAAACUCAAAGGAAUUGACGGGGGCCCGCACAAGCAGCGGAGCAUGUGGUUUAAUUCGAAGCAACGCGAAGAACCUUACCUAGACUUGACAUCUCCUGAAUUACUCUGUAAUGGAGGAAGCCGCUUCGGUGGCAGGAAGACAGGUGGUGCAUGGUUGUCGUCAGCUCGUGUCGUGAGAUGUUGGGUUAAGUCCCGCAACGAGCGCAACCCUUAUCCUUAGUAGCCAGCACGUUAUGGUGGGCACUCUGGGGAGACUGCCAGGGAUAACCUGGAGGAAGGUGGGGAUGACGUCAAAUCAUCAUGCCCCUUAUGAUUUGGGCUACACACGUGCUACAAUGGCGUAAACAAAGGGAAGCGAGAGGGUGACCUGGAGCAAAUCCCAAAAAUAACGUCCCAGUUCGGACUGUAGUCUGCAACCCGACUACACGAAGCUGGAAUCGCUAGUAAUCGCGGAUCAGAAUGCCGCGGUGAAUACGUUCCCGGGUCUUGUACACAUCGCCCGUCACACCAUGGGAGUCUGUAACGCCCGAAGUCAGUGACCUAACCGAAAGGAAGGAGCUGCCGAAGGCGGGACCGAUGANUGGGGUG